Molecule: ribosomal RNA, 491 nt
Filed under: uncultured bacterium
Lineage: Bacteria
Description: partial 16S ribosomal RNA
Rfam family: Bacterial small subunit ribosomal RNA
Source: RNAcentral
ACUCAAAUGAAUAGACGGGGACCCGCACAACCGGUGGAGCGUGUGGUUCAAUUCGAGACAAAACGAAGGACCUCACCAGGGUUUGACAUGAUACCGUUUUAAGCUCCUGGAAACAGGAGCCUAUCCGCAAGGAUGGUACCACAGGUGCUGCAUGGCUGUCGUCAGCUCGUGCCGUGAGGUGUUCCCUUAAGUGGGGAAACGAGCGCAACCCCCGUGUAAUGUUAAAUAUUCAUUACAGACGGUCCCAGUUUUACUGGGAAGGAAGGAGGGGAAGACGUCAAGUCAGCACGGCCCUUAUACCCUGGGCCACACACACACUACAAUGGCGAAAAACAAUGGGUUGCAAGCUAGCAAUAGCAAGCUAAUCCCUUAAAUUUCGCCUCAGUUCAGAUUGGAGUCUGAAACUCGACUCCAUGAAGUCGGAAUCGGUAGUAAUCGCGGAUCAGCGUGCCGCGGUGAAUACGUUCUCGGGUCUUGUACACACCGCCCGU